CCUACGGGAGGCAGCAGUGAGGAAUAUUGGUCAAUGGACGAGAGUCUGAACCAGCCAAGUAGCGUGAAGGAUGACUGCCCUAUGGUUUGUAAACUUCUUUUAUAUGGGAAUAAAACAGGGUAUGCAUACCCUCUUGUAUGUACCAUAUGAAUAAGGAUCGGCUAACUCCGUUCCAGCAGCCGCGGUAAUACGGAGGCUCCGAGCGUUAUCCGGAUUUAUUGGGUUUAAAGGGCGCGUAGGUGGUUUGUUAAGUCAGUUGUGAAAGUUUGGGGCUCAACCGUGAAAUUGCAGUUGAAACUGGCAGUCUUGAGUACAGUAGAGGUGGGUGGAAUUCGUGGUGUAGCGGUGAAAUGCUUAGAGAUCACGAAGAACUCCGAGUGCGAAGGCAGCUCACUGGACUACAACUGACACUGAUGCUCGAAAGUGUGGGGAUCAAACAGGAUUAGAUACCCGAGUAGUC
RNAcentral lists this ribosomal RNA (460 nucleotides) under uncultured bacterium. RNAcentral's name for it is "partial 16S ribosomal RNA". It matches the Rfam family "Bacterial small subunit ribosomal RNA", at positions 338 to 795 of the family's 1533-position model. The record is from RNAcentral.